AUUGAAGGGGGCUGCUCCUAGUACGAGAGGACCGGAGUGGACGAACCUCUGGUGUUCGGGUUGUGUCGCCAGACGCAUUGCCCGGUAGCUAAGUUCGGAAUCGAUAACCGCUGAAAGCAUCUAAGCGGGAAGCGAGCCCUGAGAUGAGUCUUCCCUGAUACUUUAAGUAUCCUAAAGGGUUGUCGGAGACUACGACGUUGAUAGGUCAGGUGUGUAAGUGCUGUGAGGCAUUGAGCUAACUGAUACUAAUUGCCCGUGAGGCUUAACCAUACAACACCCAAGGGGUUU
RNAcentral lists this ribosomal RNA (288 nucleotides) under Vibrio parahaemolyticus. RNAcentral describes it as "partial 23S ribosomal RNA". It matches the Rfam family "Bacterial large subunit ribosomal RNA", at positions 2661 to 2925 of the family's 2925-position model. Lineage: Bacteria; Pseudomonadati; Pseudomonadota; Gammaproteobacteria; Vibrionales; Vibrionaceae. The record is from RNAcentral.